Tachyglossus aculeatus (Australian echidna) is the source of this 1122-nucleotide long non-coding RNA. RefSeq lists it as uncharacterized. The record is from RefSeq and is a predicted model, not a curated record. The transcript has 3 exons. Lineage: Eukaryota; Metazoa; Chordata; Mammalia; Monotremata; Tachyglossidae.
AAUUCGAGAACAUUCAUCUGACAAUUUGAAUUGACAAAUUGUCACUGACAAUCUGACAAUCCAAGUGUUUGGAUUCACUGUGACAAGGCAACAUAGAGUUGAAAGAAAUGGUAAAGCACAUAUAGACACUGGAACAUGCCUGAGGCCUUGGCCGAGGAUGUGUACCACAAGGCCCUGAGCCAUGUGACUGUGUGAUGGGGCCCGGUUCCUGAUGCCAUCUGAAACCGACCUGCACAUUGGUAUCAUCACCUGAAGAUGCUGAGGCCCUGAGCUAUGUAACUGGGUGGUGGGGCCCGGAUCCUGACGCCAUCUGAAACCCGCCUCAGCCCUUGGGGCCCUGACAACUUUGGCACAGAGCAGGGCAAGCCAGGAGCCCAGUGGGCGGUAACCCUGGGUCUGGAGACCGGGGGGAAAAGUAAAAUGCCUCAGCCCAGCACUCAUCUUCUCGCUGUAUGUGGCUCUUCCAGGCCUCCUCCUAGCCUCGAGGCUCUGUGCACAAGCCAAGAAACACACACCGUGCGCCAGAGCACGAUCUAACCCCAAACUCAACUCAUUCUCUCUGACUCUCCAACUCCUGCUAUCCUUCUGUGUUUCAAACACCCCACCCUAGUUUGAUCCACAGCUCACUAGUCCCCACGGGGUACAAGCAAGGAGGUCAGCUGCCAGAGGGCACUCAACAAAUACAAAUGCCUGGCUGGCUGACUUCCACUGAAAGAACCUGUGGCACACAGAUAUCUCCCCAGAUGCUAACUAGCCAUCUCCCCAAUCCCUUCUUAUCCCUCCCCUCCCCAGGUUUUCAUAGAGAUCAAGGUUCAGAAUGAAGGGAGAAAUGGGAGAAAGGAUUCUGAGUGGGAUAUAUGUGUACUAAUCAGGCAAAUACCCUAAGCAGCAGCAAGUGAAAGCGAGGGUAUGUGUGGAAAGAUGUGGGGAACUGUUAAAUGGUGAGGCCAAUCUCAAUUUUUUCACCCAAACUCUUGGCAAACCUGUAUCUCCUUUCCCAAAACACCCAACUGAUGUAAUGCAAUCAUAACACAUAAUCAUGUUUAAGUGGCAUUUGAGAAACAGUGUUACCUAGUGGAACAAGUGCACUGGCUUGGGUGUUAGAGAGCUUGGGUUCUAAUC